Molecule: ribosomal RNA, 450 nt
Filed under: uncultured bacterium
Lineage: Bacteria
Description: bacterial SSU rRNA
Rfam family: Bacterial small subunit ribosomal RNA
Source: RNAcentral
AACGAACGCUGGCGGCAUGCCUAACACAUGCAAGUCGAACGAAGGCUUCGGCCUUAGUGGCGCACGGGUGCGUAACGCGUGGGAAUCUGCCCUUGGGUUCGGAAUAACAGUUAGAAAUGACUGCUAAUACCGGAUGAUGUCGUAAGACCAAAGAUUUAUCGCCCAGGGAUGAGCCCGCGUAAGAUUAGGUAGUUGGUGGGGUAAAGGCCUACCAAGCCGACGAUCUUUAGCUGGUCUGAGAGGAUGAUCAGCCACACUGGGACUGAGACACGGCCCAGACUCCUACGGGAGGCAGCAGUGGGGAAUAUUGGACAAUGGGCGAAAGCCUGAUCCAGCAAUGCCGCGUGAGUGAUGAAGGCCUUAGGGUUGUAAGCUCUUUUACCAGGGAUGAUAAUGACAGUACCUGGAGAAUAAGACUCCGGCUAACUCCGUGCCAGCAGCCGCGGUAAU